GUGUGAACCAAGACCAUGUUUUUUCUCUGAACCAAUUGUUGCCCCAUUCCCUGUGGGAGAGCAUAUCCUGUACCUUCUUCAUUAUCAGAAAGUAAACAGUAAUGAUUCAUGGUGAGGAGAACUUACUUGUGUUUUUAUUGUUGUUGUUUUUUUUUUUGUUUUGUUUUGUUUUUGUUUUUCCCUUGCAGUGGAGCUUUUCUGUCCUUUUUCCAUGACCUUCCCAUGGCAUGUGAAGGUGAAGUUGUAUAUGAAGCAUUCAACAUGCAGUCUUUGGGAUGACCUGACCGUCAUUUGGAAGGAAAAGGACCAGGUACAGGAGCCCACAGAAGAUAUGUGUGGGGGGAUUUACAGGAACUAUUAAGUUUGUGAUUUUUUUUAUUUUUAAGGCAGUAUUAAACAAGUCAAAGAACUCAAGUAGGAGUUAAACUAUACUUCUCAGAUGCAUAAAAUGUUGUGACUAUGGAACGUGAGCAAGCCAUAUACUUGUUGGGAGUAUUUUCAGGCCAUAGUAUUUUGUUUGCAUUAACCCCAUAGGUUGCUGCAUAACCAAAGGUAAUAAAAUAUAUAUUUUAACUAACUAUGCCAACUUACAUGUAUGUCUGAAAUACAUCAUCUUGGCUAUUACUUUUUUUUUUUUUUUUUUUUUUUUUUCUGAAUAAUGGAAAGAGAAAAGACAAUUGUAGUGGGUUUACGUGGCAAGGUUUUGGUAGCAGGGGGCCAUAGGGGUGGUUUCUGUGAGAAGGAUCUAGAAGCUGCCCCAUGUUUGGUAAGGGCCCCAUUGUUUUCCAGAGCUGAGCCAAUAAGCGAUGUUGUUUUGCGCCUCUGUGAGAGCAUAUUUAAGACAGGAAAAAAAACACUGCGACACACAGCAGCUGGGAGAGUGAAGGGAGUGAGAAAUGCCCUUGCAGGCACCAAGCCCAUGGAGUACCACGGUGGAGCAGGGUUCCAUGCUGCAGCCCAUGGAGGAGACCACGAUGGAGCAGGUGGCCCUGCACCGAUGGAGGCUGCCACCUGUGGAAGACCCCUGCUGGAGCAGAUUCUGGGCCGGACCUGUAGCCCGUGGAGAGGAGCCCACUCAGGAGCAGGUGACCUGGCAGGAGCUGCUGCCCGUAGGAGAGCCAGGUUGGAGCGGUUUUCUCCUGGGACCCCACAGCACAGGGGACGAGAGUGACCGAGAAGGAGCGGCAGAGAAGAAGUGCUGUAGGCUGACCAUAACCCCCAUUCCCCCAUUCCCCUGCGCCGCUCGGGGGGAGGAGGUGGAAGAGGGUGGAUGGGGGGGGGAAGGUGCUUUUGGUUUCUUUCCUUUGUUUCUCACUUCUCUAGCUUGUUAGUAAUGAGCAAUAAAUCGUACUAUCUUCUUAUGCUGAGUUUCUUU
This 1375-nucleotide long non-coding RNA is filed under the name Anas platyrhynchos platyrhynchos (common mallard). RNAcentral's name for it is "lncRNA (ENSAPLG00000026094.1)". Lineage: Eukaryota; Metazoa; Chordata; Aves; Anseriformes; Anatidae. The record is from RNAcentral.